This 254-nucleotide ribosomal RNA is filed under the name uncultured bacterium. RNAcentral describes it as "partial 16S ribosomal RNA". It matches the Rfam family "Bacterial small subunit ribosomal RNA", at positions 524 to 776 of the family's 1533-position model. The record is from RNAcentral.
UACGGGGGGAGCAAGCGUUGUUCGGAUUUACUGGGCGUAAAGGGCGCGUAGGCGGCCAGCGCAAGUCGGUUGUGAAAUCUCCGGGCUUAACUCGGAAAGGUCAACUGAUACUGCGCGGCUAGAGUGCGGAAGGGGCAACUGGAAUUCUCGGUGUAGCGGUGAAAUGCGUAGAUAUCGAGAGGAACACCUGCGGCGAAGGCGGGUUGCUGGGCUGACACUGACGCUGAUGCGCGAAAGCCAGGGGAGCGAACGGG